Molecule: ribosomal RNA, 253 nt
Filed under: uncultured bacterium
Lineage: Bacteria
Description: partial 16S ribosomal RNA
Rfam family: Bacterial small subunit ribosomal RNA
Source: RNAcentral
UACAGAGGUCCCAAGCGUUGUUCGGAUUCACUGGGCGUAAAGGGUGCGUAGGCGGUCAUUUAAGUCUGACGUGAAAUCUCCGGGCCUAACCCGGAAACUGCGUUGGAAACUAUCUGACUAGAGGAAUGGAGGGGAGAUUGGAAUACUUGGUGUAGCAGUGAAAUGCGUGGAUAUCAAGUGGAACACCAGUGGCGAAGGCGAAUCUCUGGACAUUUCCUGACGCUGAGGCACGAAAGCCAGGGGAGCAAACGGG